Molecule: ribosomal RNA, 800 nt
Filed under: uncultured bacterium
Lineage: Bacteria
Description: bacterial SSU rRNA
Rfam family: Bacterial small subunit ribosomal RNA
Source: RNAcentral
AGAGUUUGAUCCUGGCUCAGAUUGAACGCUGGCGGCAUGCUUUACACAUGCAAGUCGAACGGCAGCACGGGGGUAACCCUGGUGGCGAGUGGCGAACGGGUGAGUAAUAUAUCGGAACAUGUCCGGAAGUGGGGGAUAACGUAGCGAAAGUUACGCUAAUACCGCAUAUGCCCUGAGGGGGAAAGGAGGGGAUCGCAAGACCUUUCGCUUUCGGAGUGGCCGAUAUCAGAUUAGCUAGUUGGUGGGGUAAAGGCCUACCAAGGCAACGAUCUGUAGCUGGUCUGAGAGGACGACCAGCCACACUGGGACUGAGACACGGCCCAGACUCCUACGGGAGGCAGCAGUGGGGAAUUUUGGACAAUGGGGGAAACCCUGAUCCAGCCAUGCCGCGUGAGUGAAGAAGGCCUUCGGGUUGUAAAGCUCUUUCAGCCGGAAAGAAAUCGUGCAACCUAAUACGUUGUAUGGAUGACGGUACCGGAAGAAGAAGCACCGGCUAACUACGUGCCAGCAGCCGCGGUAAUACGUAGGGUGCGAGCGUUAAUCGGAAUUACUGGGCGUAAAGCGUGCGCAGGCGGUUUUGUAAGACAGAUGUGAAAUCCCCGGGCUUAACCUGGGAACUGCAUUUGUGACUGCAAGACUAGAGUACGGCAGAGGGGGGUAGAAUUCCACGUGUAGCAGUGAAAUGCGUAGAUAUGUGGAGGAAUACCGAUGGCGAAGGCAGCCCCCCUGGGUCGAUACUGACGCUCAUGCACGAAAGCGUGGGGGAGCAAACAGGAUUAGAUACCCUGGUAGUCCACGCC